RNAcentral lists this ribosomal RNA (589 nucleotides) under uncultured bacterium. RNAcentral's name for it is "partial 16S ribosomal RNA". It matches the Rfam family "Bacterial small subunit ribosomal RNA", at positions 355 to 1375 of the family's 1533-position model. The record is from RNAcentral.
UGGGGAAUUUUGGACAAUGGGCGAAAGCCUGAUCCAGCAAUGCCGCGUGUGUGAAGAAGGCCUUCGGGUUGUAAAGCACUUUUGUCCGGAAAGAAAUCCUUGGCUCUAAUACAGUCGGGGGAUGACGGUACCGGAAGAAUAAGCACCGGCUAACUACGUGCCAGCAGCCGCGGUAAUACGUAGGGUGCAAGCGUUAAUCGGAAUUACUGGGCGUAAAGCGUGCGCAGGCGGUUUGCUAAGACCGAUGUGAAAUCCCCGGGCUCAACCUGGGAACUGCAUUGGUGACUGGCAGGCUAGAGUAUGGCAGAGGGGGGUAGAAUUCCACGUGUAGCAGUGAAAUGCGUAGAGAUGUGGAGGAAUACCGAUGGCGAAGGCAGCCCCCUGGGCCAAAUACUGACGCUCAUGCACGAAAAGCGUGGGGGAGCAAAACAGGAUUAGAUACCCUGGUAGUCCACGCCCUAAACGAUGUCAACUAGUUGUUGGGGAUUCAUUUCCUUAGUAACGUAGCUAACGCGUGAAGUUGACCGCCUGGGGAGUACGGUCGCAAGAUUAAAACUCAAAUGAAUUGACGGGGUCAUAGCUGUUUCCU